UCUUCCCAUUCCGAACAGAGAAGUUAAACCUUGUAACGCCGAUGGUACUGCGAAAGCGGGAGAGUAGGUAAUCGCCGACU
This 80-nucleotide ribosomal RNA is filed under the name Muribaculaceae bacterium. The record is from RNAcentral. Lineage: Bacteria; Pseudomonadati; Bacteroidota; Bacteroidia; Bacteroidales; Muribaculaceae.